UCCAGACGUCCCAGAGCGAUCCAGACA
This 27-nucleotide non-coding RNA is filed under the name Rattus norvegicus (Norway rat). Lineage: Eukaryota; Metazoa; Chordata; Mammalia; Rodentia; Muridae. The record is from RNAcentral.